This 253-nucleotide ribosomal RNA is filed under the name uncultured bacterium. RNAcentral's name for it is "partial 16S ribosomal RNA". It matches the Rfam family "Bacterial small subunit ribosomal RNA", at positions 524 to 776 of the family's 1533-position model. The record is from RNAcentral.
UACGAAGGGGGCUAGCGUUGUUCGGAAUUACUGGGCGUAAAGCGUGCGCAGGCGGCUUCUCAAGUCAGGGGUGAAAGCCCAGAGCUCAACUCUGGAAUUGCCUUUGAGACUGAGUGGCUUGAGUACGAGAGAGGUGAGUGGAAUUCCCAGUGUAGAGGUGAAAUUCGUAGAUAUUCGCAAGAACACCAGUGGCGAAGGCGGCUCACUGGCCCGGUACUGACGCUGAGGUGCGAAAGCGUGGGGAGCAAACAGG